CAAGACAACUUUACGGAGUUGACGAUUGACGGAGCGAAGCGACGUCAAAGCGUUCAUUAAAGUCGAGUUGGCUUAGGGAUACGUUCGUUGGGUAGGGGAGCGUUCUGUAAGCCUGUGAAGGUGUGUCGUGAGGCAUGCUGGAGGUAUCAGAAGUGCGAAUGCUGACAUAAGUAACGAUAAAGCGGGUGAAAAGCCCGCUCGCCGGAAGACCAAGGGUUCCUGUCCAACGUUAAUCGGGGCAGGGUGAGUCGACCCCUAAGGCGAGGCCGAAAGGCGUAGUCGAUGGGAAACGGGUUAAUAUUCCCGUACUUGGUGUUACUGCGAAGGGGGGACGGAGAAGGCUAUGUUGGCCGGGCGACGGUUGUCCCGGUUUAAGCGUGUAGGUGUGUGUUCCAGGUAAAUCCGGUUCACUUUAACACUGAGGCGUGACGACGAGGCACUACGGUGCUGAAGCAACAAAUGCCCUGCUUCCAGGAAAAGCCUCUAAGCAUCAGGUAACACGAAAUCGUACCCCAAACCGACACAGGUGGUCAGGUAGAGAAUACCAAGGCGCUUGAGAGAACUCGGGUGAAGGAACUAGGCAAA
This 585-nucleotide ribosomal RNA is filed under the name Salmonella enterica subsp. enterica. Its description in RNAcentral is "partial 23S ribosomal RNA". It matches the Rfam family "Bacterial large subunit ribosomal RNA", at positions 1163 to 1721 of the family's 2925-position model. Lineage: Bacteria; Pseudomonadati; Pseudomonadota; Gammaproteobacteria; Enterobacterales; Enterobacteriaceae. The record is from RNAcentral.